Molecule: ribosomal RNA, 301 nt
Filed under: uncultured bacterium
Lineage: Bacteria
Description: partial 16S ribosomal RNA
Rfam family: Bacterial small subunit ribosomal RNA
Source: RNAcentral
CAGCAGCCGCGGGAAUACGAAGGGGGCUAGCGUUGCUCGGAAUUACUGGGCGUAAAGGGUGCGUAGGCGGUUGUUUAAGUCUGUUGUGAGAUCCCCGGGCUCAACCUGGGAAUGGCAAUGGAAACUGGACGGCUAGAGUGUGUCAGAGGAUGGUGGAAUUCCCGGUGUAGCGGUGAAAUGCGUAGAGAUCGGGAGGAACAUCAGUGGCGAAGGCGGCCAUCUGGGACAACACUGACGCUGAGGCACGAAAGCGUGGGGAGCAAACAGGAUUAGAUACCCCCGUAGUCCCUGUCUCUUAUAC